This 412-nucleotide ribosomal RNA is filed under the name uncultured bacterium. RNAcentral describes it as "bacterial SSU rRNA". It matches the Rfam family "Bacterial small subunit ribosomal RNA", at positions 32 to 455 of the family's 1533-position model. The record is from RNAcentral.
AAUCAACGCUGGCGGCGUGCCUAACACAUGCAAGUCGCACGAGAAAGGGGAGCAAUCCCUGAGUAAAGUGGCGCACGGGUGAGUAACACGUGAAUCAUCUACCUCCGAGUGGGGAAUAACUGAGAGAAAUCUUAGCUAAUACCGCAUAACACUUACGAGUCAAAGCAGCAAUGCGCUUGGAGAGGAGUUCGCGGCCGAUUAGUUAGUUGGCGGGGUAAUGGCCCACCAAGACGAUGAUCGGUAUCCGGCCUGAGAGGGCGCACGGACACACUGGAACUGAAACACGGUCCAGACUCCUACGGGAGGCAGCAGUGGGGAAUUUUGCGCAAUGGGGGAACCCUGACGCAGCAACGCCGCGUGGAGGAUGAAGUAUCUUGGUACGUAAACUCCUUUCGAUUGGGAAGAUAAUGAC